Molecule: ribosomal RNA, 491 nt
Filed under: uncultured bacterium
Lineage: Bacteria
Description: partial 16S ribosomal RNA
Rfam family: Bacterial small subunit ribosomal RNA
Source: RNAcentral
AGUGAACGCUGGCGGUAGGCCUAACACAUGCAAGUCGAACGGCAGCACAGUAAGAGCUUGCUCUUACGGGUGGCGAGUGGCGGACGGGUGAGGAAUACAUCGGAAUCUACUUUUUCGUGGGGGAUAACGUAGGGAAACUUACGCUAAUACCGCAUACGACCUACGGGUGAAAGCAGGGGAUCUUCGGACCUUGCGCGAUUGAAUGAGCCGAUGUCGGAUUAGCUAGUUGGCGGGGUAAAGGCCCACCAAGGCGACGAUCCGUAGCUGGUCUGAGAGGAUGGUCGGCCACAUUGGAGCUGAGACACGGUCCAGACUCCUACGGGAGGCAGCAGUGUGGAAUAUUGGACAAUGGGCGCAAGCCUGAUACAGCCAUACCGCGUGGGUGAAGAAGGCCUUCGGGUUGUAAAGCCCUUUUGUUGGGAAAGAAAAGCAGCAGGUUAAUACCCCGCUGUUCGGACGGUACCCAAAGAAUAAGCACCGGCUAACUUCGU